Orycteropus afer afer is the source of this 417-nucleotide non-coding RNA. Lineage: Eukaryota; Metazoa; Chordata; Mammalia; Tubulidentata; Orycteropodidae. The record is from the annotation of a RefSeq genome assembly.
GCUGUGGGGCAACAGGAGGCAGGACUCAGGGGAUCAUCCAACAUGGCUUGGUCCCUUCUUCUCCUCUCCCUCCUUGCUCAGUGCACAGGGUCCUGGGCCCAGUCUGUGCUGAGUCAGCCGCCCUCAGUGUCUGGGAACCGAGGCCAGCAGGUCACCGUCUCCUGCACUGGAAGCAGCACCAAUGUUGGUAUCUUUGGUGUGAACUGGUACCAACAGCUCCCAGGCUCGGCCCCCAAACUCCUCAUCUAUGGUGAUAGCAAACGACCCUCGGGGAUCCCGGAUCGAUUCUCAGGUUCCAAGUCUGGUAGCUCGGGCUCCCUGACCGUCAGCGGGCUGCAGCCUGAGGACGAGGCUGAUUAUUACUGUCAGUCCAUAGACAGCAGUAGUACUCACACAGUGCUCCAGGCCUGUGGGGAA